CGUUAUUAAUCAGUUUUGUACACAGGCUCAUUACGUCGACCGGAUAACCGUACUCCGACGAGAGUCGCGGAACAAUUUACAACGCACAACGACGCUUUGCAGUAGAAAAAUUGGUGGAGAAUUGUUCCUAGAAUUAUCGAUUUUUAUUUUUGAUAAUACGUAAUAAUAGUAUAUACAAUUCUAUUAU
Ooceraea biroi (clonal raider ant) is the source of this 187-nucleotide long non-coding RNA. RefSeq lists it as uncharacterized. The record is from RefSeq and is a predicted model, not a curated record. NCBI's taxonomy places the organism in Eukaryota, Metazoa, Arthropoda, Insecta, Hymenoptera, Formicidae.